ACUCCUACGGGAGGCAGCAGUGGGGAAUAUUGCACAAUGGGGAAAGGACCCUGAUGCAGCCAUGCCGCGUGUGUGAAGAAGGCCUUCGGGUUGUAAAGCACUUUCAGUAGGGAGGAAGGUAGUGUAGUUAACACCUGCAUUAUUUGACGUUACUACAGAAGAAGCACCGGCUAACUCCGUGCCAGCAGCCGCGGUAAUACGGAGGGUGCGAGCGUUAAUCGGAAUUACUGGGCGUAAAGCGCAUGCAGGCGGCCUGUUAAGUCAGAUGUGAAAGCCCGGGGCUUAACCUCGGAAUUGCAUUUGAAACUGGCAGGCUAGAGUCUUGUAGAGGGGG
This 334-nucleotide ribosomal RNA is filed under the name uncultured bacterium. RNAcentral describes it as "bacterial SSU rRNA". It matches the Rfam family "Bacterial small subunit ribosomal RNA", at positions 335 to 660 of the family's 1533-position model. The record is from RNAcentral.